CCUACGGGGGGCAGCAGUGGGGAAUAUUGGACAAUGGGGGGAACCCUGAUCCAGCGACGCCGCGUGAGUGAAGAAGUAUUUCGGUAUGUUAAGCUCUAUCAGCAGGGAAGAAAGAAAUGACGGUACCUGACUAAGAAGCCUCGGCUAACUACGUGCCAGCAGCCGCGGUAAUACGUAGGGGGCAAGAGUUAUCCGGAUUUACUGGGUGUAAAGGGAGCGUAGACGGCGAUGCAAGUCUGAAGUGAAAGGCGGGGGCCCAACCCCCGGACUGGUUUGGAAACUGGAUGGCUGGAGUGCAGGGGAGGUAAGUGGAAUUCGUAGUGUAGCGGUGAAAUGCGUAGAUAUUAGGAAGAACACCAGUGGCGAAGGCAGCUUACUGGAGUGUAACUGACGUUGAGGCUCGAAAGCGUGGGGAGCGAACAGGAUUAGAUACCCGUGUAGUC
This 443-nucleotide ribosomal RNA is filed under the name uncultured bacterium. RNAcentral describes it as "partial 16S ribosomal RNA". It matches the Rfam family "Bacterial small subunit ribosomal RNA", at positions 338 to 795 of the family's 1533-position model. The record is from RNAcentral.